This 386-nucleotide RNase P RNA is filed under the name Acidobacteriota bacterium. RNAcentral describes it as "Acidobacteria bacterium (activated sludge metagenome) RNase P RNA component class A". It matches the Rfam family "Bacterial RNase P class A". From Rfam's summary of the family: Ribonuclease P (RNase P) is a ubiquitous endoribonuclease, found in archaea, bacteria and eukarya as well as chloroplasts and mitochondria. Its best characterised activity is the generation of mature 5'-ends of tRNAs by cleaving the 5'-leader elements of precursor-tRNAs. Cellular RNase Ps are ribonucleoproteins. RNAcentral also lists the same sequence under 1 other name. Lineage: Bacteria; Pseudomonadati; Acidobacteriota. The record is from RNAcentral.
GAGGCACGCCGGGCAAUCGCUGUUUGCGUAAGCGAAGAGAGGAAAGUCCGAACACCAUAGGGCAUCGAGCCGGAUAACGUCCGGGAUUGCAUGAAAGUGCAAGACGACAAGUGCAACAGAGAGUAAACCAGCCCGCAAGGGUGAUGGGUGAAAGGGUGAGGUAAGAGCUCACCGGCGUCGGUGGUAACAUCGGCGGCCAGGUAAACUCCUCGUGGUGCAAGAUCAAAUAGGGGAUCGCGUAAUUUGUGCGGCCCGUGCAAUGCUUCUUCGGAAGCCGCAGAUCCCGGGUAGAUCGCUUGAGCCGUCGGGUAACCGCCGGCCUAGAUGAAUGAUUGCCAUUUGCCGCAAGGUAGAUACAAAAUUCGGCUUACAGGCGUGCCUCAUAG